Molecule: long non-coding RNA, 493 nt
Filed under: Dromaius novaehollandiae (emu)
Lineage: Eukaryota; Metazoa; Chordata; Aves; Casuariiformes; Dromaiidae
Description: lncRNA (ENSDNVG00000007392.1)
Source: RNAcentral
UUAAGUUUCAGUUCUGUUACAGGUACCAGCUUCUGUCAUCCUUACAGAUGUGAUUUAGAGGACUUUUUAAAGAAGAAGAUAAUAGAGAUCAUAAGUUCCAAUGCCUUAGUAGGAGAGAAGUGGAAUGAAAGUAAUUGGUUUUACUGCUUUGGAUUGACCAACAGUCCUGUAUCGCUGCAAGGCCAGAAAGUCAAGCUAAGAUGCCAUCUGUUUUGCUGCAGAAGUGCUAUUCUGCAAGCCAGGAUUGUUUUUGAGAAGGCUUAAGAAUAUUUUCAGAUUGUACUCAUUCAAGAACUCUUCCAGAUGAACUCCUUGAAGCAGUGAGCCUCUCCAACAAGGCUGAUCUUGGUGAUACUGCAGUGAAGCUCUCUAUACUCUGAAGCUGAAGGUAUUUUUGAUAUUGGUUCGUAUCUCCAAAAACUUACCGAUUUAAAUCCUUAUGGCAGUGAUUGUCAUAAACAAGCCUUUGCUUCAGAGGAGAGAGUAAGAAAGG